Long non-coding RNA from Neopsephotus bourkii (Bourke's parrot), 1373 nucleotides. RefSeq lists it as uncharacterized. The transcript has 2 exons. The record is from RefSeq and is a predicted model, not a curated record. NCBI's taxonomy places the organism in Eukaryota, Metazoa, Chordata, Aves, Psittaciformes, Psittacidae.
AGUCAAUCCUUUGCACAAGGAUGGGAGGAAGCUUGCAAACAGGUUCCUUAGGACUGCGAAGAUGUGACAAACAUGAGGGUUCAAGAGGCAAGAGAUCGAAUUGGGGAGUUUUUCAAGAAGCUGAUGUAUGCUUUGAGGCACGCGGUCCAAACCAUCCCUACAAUACACUAUGUGGAGAACAGCUUCUCAGUGACUCACAUUGACAGCUGCUGACCAGGCUUUGGGAAGAACAAGGUCACCCACUGGGGCUGCAGUGGUAAAUACGAAGCACAGCAAUUUCAUGUAUGGCUUUAUUAGCUCUGGUCACAGGUUUCUCUGAAGAGCAGUUGGUAAAUAUCAGUGUGGAAGGCACCGUUUCCAUUCAUCUUUUGGAAAGACAUUUCCCUUGCAGGUUGAAGAAAGAGAAGAACAGAAAAGCCUUUGUUAGCACGUUGGCAGGUGCGAAACUGUAUUGCCAAGUAAAGUGGAAGUGGUGAGGUGAGGUUUUAAUUCCAGGUCACUGGUGAGUAACUAUGCUCAGGGUGUAAAGCAGAUGAGCAAUGACCUUAAUGGCAGAGCUGCUAGAAAACACCCAGCUGUUUUAAAAAGACCUUUUGCCAACAGCACCCACUGCUAGAUCUGGAGGUUGGGGGUUUAGUGAGAGGUAGGCUCAGAGAGCUUGGGAAAGAUGAGGAUCCCUUUGGAGCACUGGGAAGCACGUGGUGGUGUCCGAUGAUCCCAGCCACAGCAGAGGCAGAGGAGAGCUGCCUGACGUGCUGCCUGUGUUCUCCUCACUGUGGUCUGUGAGCCUGGAACGUACAGUCCCAACAACGAAGUGACCUGCCAGCUUUGUGCAGAUCCUCAAGUCAGGAUGUACGGAGCAAGAUUCUGGUGAUAAACUGACAGCAGAAACUGGGAAACCGAAGAGCAGCUGUGGAAAAACUCGUUUUGUGAUGUUCUGUUCAGUUGUAGCUGCCAAUUCUGGAACCCUGCAUUCCGUUAUGAACAGUUGCAAAACUUCAUUCAUCCACCUCCGGAUUUUCUGUAGUCAGGGACCACUUAAACUGCAGAAGUGAUGCAGGAACUGAAGCGUUCAUGCACGGUAAAGGGAUUCAAUGGAAACAAAAAGGACGUUUGUCACGUGGCUGUUAGUGCAAAGAGCCCGUUUCUUGGUGGUGACACCAGCCCUGCUGCAGCUUUGUGCUGGUUUGCUCAGGGAAUGUAAAGGAGGUGGAAACCACUCUGGGAAAGACAGCAGACAGUUGUAGUGGAAUUCCGUGCCAUGGUGACACAAGGCAGAACCUCUAUGAGCAGUUCCUAGCAGAUACUAGAAGAAGUAUUUCAUCUUUGUGAUUUAGAAGCAUUCAAUGCCCUUCCCUUUGUUUGUCAGUGUU